Long non-coding RNA from Rhea pennata, 210 nucleotides. RefSeq lists it as uncharacterized. NCBI's taxonomy places the organism in Eukaryota, Metazoa, Chordata, Aves, Rheiformes, Rheidae. The transcript has 4 exons. The record is from RefSeq and is a predicted model, not a curated record.
CCCGAGGAGCUGGAGUACGAGGAGGUGGAGCUCUACAAGGCCAGUCACCGGGACAAGCUGGGGCUCACGGUCUGCUACCGCACCGACGGCGAGGAGGACGCUGGCAUCUACGUGGGGGAGGUGAACCCCAACAGCAUCGCGGCCAAGGACGGGCGCAUCCGCGAGGGCGACCGCAUCAUCCAGAUUAACGGGGUGGAGGUGCAGGACCGC